UUUUUGUGGGGGCUGUGGCUUUUGUUGCAGUGGGGGGCGUCCUCCUGGAACUCCCUGGCUUGCAGGUCGUGGCUGCUGGGUGGUAGCCCCCCCAGAGCGAGCCUGCUGGCCAGGAGGCCUCUGCUGCCCGCUUUGUGACUGCUGUCUGGGUGGCUGAGCGGGUCUCUGUUGCUGAGGUUUCUGACCGCCCCCCCCUGGAGGAGGUCUUUGUUGCUGCUGAGUGACAGACUGCUGCCUCUGAGCUUGAGGGGAGCCUCCCUGGUUUCGCUGAGGAGCCCCUUGGCUGCCCUUAACCUGGGAAUUUGGAUCAGCUGCAGUUUGCUGAGCCUGUGCGGGGGGUUGGCCCUGAGACGGGGGACGCUGCUGAGAAGGGGAACCUUGCUGAGGAGCACCUGAGGAAAAAAAAAGAGCAAUCACACCGCGUUUGACUACUUGACUGCAAUUUGAAAUGAGAAAAAGUAUAGUCACCCGCAACACACCCACCAAUAAAACAUGCUGUGGAGGGGGGCGUGACCUGCGGACCUGCAGCGAAACUGGGUGUGCCAGGACCGGCUUCAAGAUCAGCGACAGGCAACAGCCGGAGAGGAGGAGGGGAGAACUGGAGCGAGAGCGAGAGAGAGACAGCCGGAAACGAACACUUGCUGAUAAGCACAACGAAAAUACUUUAUUACAAAAUAAAACAGUGUUGUAAACCCUGAAGCUGGACUGUCACGUCAGUGCUUGGUGGUUCGAGGAGCCCCGAGGAGAGAAACCUCCACACAUGCAUUUUGUUUUCUAUUUGCACAUGCUAUGUAGCACUUAUCAUUUGGGAUCUUGGUGGAUCAGGUCCAAAGUGUGCAACAGGCCUGUGCAAACCUCAGAAUUUGGUAUAUCAAUUCAAGACAUUUGAAGAAUUUUGAAUUGAAUUGAAUUGUAUUGUACUGAUUUGAAUUGCAUUGAAUUGAACCUACAGGAUGUUGAAUUAGAAUUGCAAUUAAAGAGAGUGAAAUUCAAUCAAUCAAUCAAUCAAUGUUUAUUUAUAUAGCCCUAAAUCACAAGUGUCUCAAAGGGCUGCACAAACCACGACAUCCUCGGUAGAGCCCACAUUAAAUUAAAUUCAGAUCCAUUCCUUAUCGCUAAGUAACUGGAAGGAAGGAAGUAUAUUCCCAUCCCCUUUUUUAAACUUUGAAUUAAUAUAAAUUUAAUUUUUUUAUACCUACAAAAUUGGCUAAGCUGCUAACGUGCUAACCCGUCGCAUGUUACAACUUGGCAUGCUAACAGGCAUUACUUUUUGUUCUAUACCUACAAAAUUUGAUAUAAUGGUAACGUGCAAACCAAUAGCAUGCAAAUAUGCUAUGUUAGCAUGAAGCAUGACAGCACUAAAAGUAAAGGGAGCGCUAAAUAGCCACAAUGAGUUUUGAAUUUUGAUGUAUGAACAGCUUGAAUCUGUCGAGAAAUGUGGAAGUACUCCAUUUGGGACUGCAAUUAUACUCCCUGUUUGCAACCUCAAUUCGAAAUUAUGAAAUGUUUUGGGAAUUUGAGAGACAACAGCACUCAAGUGAAUAGUCCACUUACUUAGUAACCUUAUGGCCAUUCCUAAUGGUGUCCAUGUUGACUGUGUAUGUGCCUGACGAGUCAGCCACCAUGUUGAUUUCAGAAAAUUCCGCCUAAAAAAAAAACACAUUGACAGUAUUUAUGCCCCUACAACAACUCAUA
Molecule: long non-coding RNA, 1695 nt
Organism: Nerophis ophidion (straightnose pipefish)
Lineage: Eukaryota; Metazoa; Chordata; Actinopteri; Syngnathiformes; Syngnathidae
Exons: 3
Source: RefSeq, a predicted model, not a curated record